Molecule: ribosomal RNA, 442 nt
Filed under: uncultured bacterium
Lineage: Bacteria
Description: partial 16S ribosomal RNA
Rfam family: Bacterial small subunit ribosomal RNA
Source: RNAcentral
CCUACGGGAGGCAGCAGUGGGGAAUAUUGGGCAAUGGGCGCAAGCCUGACCCAGCAACGCCGCGUGAAGGAAGAAGGCUUUCGGGUUGUAAACUUCUUUUAAGGGGGAAGAGCAGAAGACGGUACCCCUUGAAUAAGCCACGGCUACCUACGUGCCAGCAGCCGCGGUAAUACGUAGGUGGCAAGCGUUGUCCGGAUUUACUGGGUGUAAAGGGCGUGCAGCCGGAGAGACAAGUCAGAUGUGAAAUCCACGGGCUCAACCCGUGAACUGCAUUUGAAACUGUGUCCCUUGAGUGUCGGAGAGGUAAUCGGAAUUCCUUGGGUAGCGGUGAAAUGCGUAGAUAUAAGGAAGAACACCAGUGGCGAAGGCGGAUUACUGGACGAUAACUGACGGUGAGGCGCGAAAGCGUGGGGAGCAAACAGGAUUAGAUACCCCUGUAGUC